RNAcentral lists this ribosomal RNA (435 nucleotides) under uncultured bacterium. RNAcentral describes it as "bacterial SSU rRNA". It matches the Rfam family "Bacterial small subunit ribosomal RNA", at positions 943 to 1380 of the family's 1533-position model. The record is from RNAcentral.
GGUUUAAUUCGACGCAACGCGAAAAAACCUUACCUACCCUUGACAUGCCUGGAAUCUUGCAGAGAUGCGGGAGUGCUCGAAAGAGAGCCAGGACACAGGUGCUGCAUGGCCGUCGUCAGCUCGUGUCGUGAGAUGUUGGGUUAAGUCCCGCAACGAGCGCAACCCUUGUCAUUAGUUGCUACGAAAGGGGCACUCUAAUGAGACUGCCGGUGACAAACCGGAGGAAGGUGGGGAUGACGUCAGGUCAUCAUGGCCCUUAUGGGUAGGGCUACACACGUCAUACAAUGGCCGGUACAGAGGGCUGCCAACCCGCGAGGGGGAGCCAAUCCCAGAAAACCGGUCGUAGUCCGGAUCGCAGUCUGCAACUCGACUGCGUGAAGUCGGAAUCGCUAGUAAUCGCGGAUCAGCUUGCCGCGGUGAAUACGUUCCCGGGUC